AAGUCGUAACAAGGUCUCCGUUGGUGAACCAGCGGAGGGAUCAUUACAGAGUUGCAAAACUCCCAACCCUUUGUGAACGAACCUACCAGUUGCCUCGGCGGCGAGCCCCCUGGGCGGACCGCCGGCGGAAUAUAAACUCUUUGCAUUACAGUAUCUCUGAUUGCUUAUUCAAUAAGUUAAAACUUUCAACAACGGAUCUCUUGGUUCUG
Molecule: unclassified non-coding RNA, 209 nt
Filed under: fungal sp.
Lineage: Eukaryota; Fungi
Description: partial internal transcribed spacer region
Rfam family: Eukaryotic small subunit ribosomal RNA (bases 1-46)
Source: RNAcentral